UACGUAGGUGUCAAGCGUUAUCCGGAAUUACUGGGCGUAAAGGGCUCGCAGGCGGUUUGACAAGUUUGACGUGAAAUCUCUCGGCUUAACUGGGAGGGGACGUUGGAGACUGUUAGACUUGAGGUAGUGAGAGGGAGGCGGAAUUCCCGGUGUAGUGGUGGAAUGCGUAGAUAUCGGGAAGAACACCAGUGGCGAAAGCGGCCUUCUGGCACUGACCUGACGCUGAGGAGCGAAAGCGUGGGUAGCGAACGGGAUUAGAUACCCCGGUAGUCCACGCUGUAAACGAUGUGAACUAGGUGUGGGGAGUAUAGACCCUCUUCGUGCCAAAGCAAACGCGAUAAGUUCACCGCCUGGGGAGUACGGCCGCAAGGCUAAA
Molecule: ribosomal RNA, 376 nt
Filed under: uncultured bacterium
Lineage: Bacteria
Description: bacterial SSU rRNA
Rfam family: Bacterial small subunit ribosomal RNA
Source: RNAcentral